UAAGCAUAUCAAUAAGCGGAGGAAAAGAAACUAACAAGGAUUCCCCUAGUAACUGCGAGUGAAGCGGGAAAAGCUCAAAUUUAAAAUCUGGCAGUGGUUCACUGCCCGAGUUGUAAUCUAGAGAAGUGUUGCUCACACUGGACCAUGUAUAAGUCUUCUGGAAUGAAGCGUCAUAGAGGGUGAGAAUCCCGUCUUUGACAUGGACUCCCAGUGUAUUUGUAGCAUGCUCUCAAAGAGUCGAGUUGUUUGGGAAUGCAGCUCUAAAUGGGUGGUAACCUCCAUCUAAAGCUAAAUAUUGGCGAGAGACCGAUAGUGAACAAGUACCGUGAGGGAAAGAUGAAAAGAACUUUGGAAAGAGAGUUAAAAAGUACGUGAAAUUGUUGAAAGGGAAACGCUUGAAGUCAGUCACAUUGGCCAGGGAUCAACCCAAGCUUUUGAGUGUACUUCCUGGCUGAUGGGCCAACAUCAGCUUUGACUGUCAGAGAAGGGUAGGGGGAAUGUGGCACCCUUCUUGGGUGUGUUAUAGCCCUCUGUCAUAUAUGGCCGUUGGGGCUGAGGAAUGCAGCGCGCCACAAGGCCGGGCUUCGACCACGUUCGCGCUUAGGAUGUUGGCAUAAUGGCUUUAAUCGACCCGU
This 635-nucleotide ribosomal RNA is filed under the name Amanita vernicoccora. RNAcentral's name for it is "eukaryotic LSU rRNA". It matches the Rfam family "Eukaryotic large subunit ribosomal RNA", at positions 35 to 652 of the family's 3401-position model. Lineage: Eukaryota; Fungi; Basidiomycota; Agaricomycetes; Agaricales; Amanitaceae. The record is from RNAcentral.